CAGUCGCCGCGGUAAUACCGAGGGUGCGAGCGUUAAUCGGAUUUACUGGGCGUAAAGCGUGCGUAGGCGGCUUCUUAAGUCGGAUGUGAAAUCCCUGAGCUUAACUUAGGAAUUGCAUUCGAUACUGGGAAGCUAGAGUAUGGGAGAGGAUGGUAGAAUUCCAGGUGUAGCGGUGAAAUGCGUAGAGAUCUGGAGGAAUACCGAUGGCGAAGGCAGCCAUCUGGCCUAAUACUGACGCUGAGGUACGAAAGCAUGGGGAGCAAACAGGAUUAGAUACCCCAGUAGUCCCUGUCUCUUAUAA
RNAcentral lists this ribosomal RNA (301 nucleotides) under uncultured bacterium. RNAcentral describes it as "partial 16S ribosomal RNA". It matches the Rfam family "Bacterial small subunit ribosomal RNA", at positions 509 to 809 of the family's 1533-position model. The record is from RNAcentral.